This 633-nucleotide ribosomal RNA is filed under the name Russula sp. r-04013. RNAcentral's name for it is "LSU rRNA". It matches the Rfam family "Eukaryotic large subunit ribosomal RNA", at positions 41 to 649 of the family's 3401-position model. The record is from RNAcentral. Lineage: Eukaryota; Fungi; Basidiomycota; Agaricomycetes; Russulales; Russulaceae.
UAUCAAUAAGCGGAGGAAAAGAAACUAACAAGGAUUCCCCUAGUAACUGCGAGUGAAGCGGGAAAAGCUCAAAUUUAAAAUCUGGUGGUCUCUGGCCAUCCGAGUUGUAAUUUAGAGAAGCGUCUUCCGCGCUGGACCGUGCACAAGUCUCCUGGAAUGGAGCGUCGUAGAGGGUGAGAAUCCCGUCUUUGGCACGGACGCACCAGGGCUUCUGUGAUGCGCUCUCGAAGAGUCGAGUUGUUUGGGAAUGCAGCUCAAAAUGGGUGGUGAACUCCAUCUAAAGCUAAAUAUUGGCGAGAGACCGAUAGCGAACAAGUACCGUGAGGGAAAGAUGAAAAGCACUUUGGAAAGAGAGUGAAACAGUACGUGAAAUUGUUGAAAGGGAAACGCUUGAAGUCAGUCGCGUCGCCCGAGACUCAGCCUUGCCUCGGCUUGGUGUACUUCUCGGCCGACGGGUCAGCAUCAAUUUUGCCCCUUGGAUAAUGGCGAGGGAAAUGUGACACCUUUACGGGUGUGUUAUAGUCUUUCGUCGCAUGCAAGGGUCGGGAUUGAGGAACUCAGCACGCGCCUUUGGGCGUCGGGGUUCGCCCACGAUACGUGCUUAGGAUGUUGGCGUAAUGGCUUUAAACGACC